UUCUUUUAUUUGCUUUGCUGCAUUUUGUGGAUGGAUGUGAUCUUCUUCGAAACCAAGCGUCAAUUCGAUCUGAAUUGAAUCCUAUGUUUGAAGGUGCUUCUUGAACUGACCACUUGGGGUAUGGUCAGUUCGCUAAUUUCUAUCAUUCUGUCACUGUAUCUUAUGUUUAUUUGAACUGGGAGAAUGCAUUCAAGGAGAAAAAUGUCAACUCUUUGUCUCUGUUUAGUCAGAAUGGUAAAAUUUAGAGCUAAAUGCUCUUUGACUUGCUGAGACUUUGGAACAUUGAUUCUUAUUUUUGUUGAACUCAAAGUUGUGGGUAUGUAAAGUGUAGAUAUAUGCUUUCUGCUCUGUGUUUAAUGUGUUCUGUAAGUAGUGAAUUAUAUGAAUUAGCAAAAAAAUAUUUUGGUUUUUUGUUAGUUGUUGUUGUUUAAAGGUCUAGGUUAUAGUUCAAGAGGCUGAUCCUUACUGGGUUUGAAAAAAUGCUUUAAAAUAACUUCAUUAACCUCGUGAGUAACUAGCACUUUUAUUGCAAUACGCCUCUAUCCUAGUGUGACCUUGAUUUCGUAGGACAUAUUUUUCGCUAUACAUUUUGAUCUUUGUUUUCAUUGUGGAGGUCCUGCAGAAAAAUAGCUUGACGCAGGAAAUUGGACGACGAAAUGAAGAAAUCGAAGAGGACGAGACGUUUUGGAUUAUGAGGUUAAUUGAUCAGCUUGAUAGGUGACCAGAGCUAGCUAGCGAGAAGUAUCCCACCGGCCGUUAUACUCUAGUAAAAUAUGAUCCUGCAUUCAUAAUGCAUUUGCUUCAAAGUGUGUCAGACUCAGCCUCCAUUCUUCAACUGUGUUACUGAUUUUGUUUCAGGUUUUCUCAUUUAGAGGAAUAAGAAAGGUCUUUUUCUUUGUUCCUUCUAUUUGUUCAGUUUAUUUGGUUGCAUUUUUUUAUUUACUUUGCUGUUCAAUUUAUGUGUUCCAUAUUGAUUUUGAAUAUCCUUUUGGACUUAUUUUGGCACAAUUUCUCAUCCAUAUUUUAAAAGUGAAAGUAAGUAUAAAGCAUUAAGUUUCACUAUACACAAGCAAGUCCAGCUUUUAUUUGAUUGGAUGGGACUUGCACGACUUUGGGGUGGUUCAAUGCCAAUUAUUCAGCAUGCUUUGCAGGCAGUUAAGGAAGGUGGUAAGCAUGUAUCAUUUAUAGACAAUUAUGAAAACAUGUAUCAAGAUGCAGAGCAUAAGUGGGUAAGUGAGGUUAAAAACGAGUGAGACAUGUAAGUUUUCGAUCAAUAUCUUUGUUCAUUCUUUUUCUUAAUCUUGCGAUUCUUUUUCUUAAUCUUGCCAAUCAAAUUGAAUGAAUACUUUUUAUGUUUGAGAUCUGUUGUUUAAUACUGCUAACAUGUGCUUGUGGUUUCUCUGUCUUACUUAUUCAGGGGCUUGCUUGAGAGCUGGGGAAUUUUCUUCUUGGAAUACACAGUUAUUACACUGUCAGCAUACUUAAAGAUCACAUGUUGGUAGAUUUGGCCAAAUGACAUAUGAUGAUCAGCUGACUUCUCCAAUAAUACCAAGUCUCCAAAUGACAUGAUGAUCAGCUUUCGUAGAAGUAAUUCCUCAAAAGUAAAGCUACAGAUAUUAAUUACUGGAAGGAGGUAAUUUUUCCCAGCAGCCUAGCUCUUAGAGGAUACUAUAGGACUGAAAUAUGUUAGAUACAUGAAGCUUUUAUUAGUCCAAGGUGAAUGGGGCUUAGGCAUGCCAGACGUUUAAACUCGUUGUUGUUUAAAGGAGAAAAUAUAUGUAAAUGUGGAUUUAUUUUGCUGCAAUUGUCUCAAUGUAAUUAUUUAAUAAUGCAUUUGGUAUCCAGCAUUUUGCCA
Molecule: long non-coding RNA, 1855 nt
Organism: Rosa rugosa (rugosa rose)
Lineage: Eukaryota; Viridiplantae; Streptophyta; Magnoliopsida; Rosales; Rosaceae
Exons: 5
Source: RefSeq, a predicted model, not a curated record